Molecule: ribosomal RNA, 253 nt
Filed under: uncultured bacterium
Lineage: Bacteria
Description: partial 16S ribosomal RNA
Rfam family: Bacterial small subunit ribosomal RNA
Source: RNAcentral
UACGAAGGGGGCUAGCGUUGUUCGGAAUCACUGGGCGUAAAGCGCACGUAGGCGGAUUGUUAAGUCGGGGGUGAAAUCCUGAGGCCCAACCUCAGAACUGCCUUCGAUACUGGCAAUCUCGAGUCCGGAAGAGGUUGGUGGAACAGCUAGUGUAGAGGUGAAAUUCGUAGAUAUUAGCUAGAACACCAGUGGCGAAGGCGGCCAACUGGUCCGGUACUGACGCUGAGGUGCGAAAGCGUGGGGAGCAAACAGG